AGCUGAGUUCAGAUGACAAGGAAUCAAAUAAGUUACCAUCAAAACUAAUAAAGGAAAAGUAACCACAAUAUAUCUUCUUAAUGUUUCAAUUGCAACAGAGCUUCAAACAAUCAAUUCAGGCUUGGGUCCAAACUAAGUUCAAAAAAUAGAGUACAACAGAGUUACAUUACAAUCAGUUCAUUACAUUUAAAAUAGGGAUUCACACAUCCUAACAAAAACCAAAAUAUCAACUUGUUUAUUCUACCCUGUUAAAAUCCAUCUUGCAUCUGUCAAGAGGAAAAGAAAAGAGAUUUACCAAGUCUACAAUUCCUUGUAUAUCCAAUACACGGAACAAAUGUAGUAAAAUUGCAGUUUUUCCUCCUUUGUACAACAUGAUUAUGUCCAGAAGAUGCAAGCAUAAUUCAUAAUCAAUUCAACAUAAGAAGAAUCACUACGAGGACUGGUGUUGUUUUUAUCAGUUCCAAUAUCUGUCUUCUUAUCCGGUUGGAUUGAAUCUUUACAAGCAUGCUGUGAAAAGUCUACAGGUUCAGGUACAUGGGGAGGUACAACACUCCUCACUAAAGCCCAGAGUACAACAGAGCUUCAUUACAAUCAAUUCAUUACAUUUCAACCUCCGAGAUCUGCAACACCACGAAAAUCAUAAUUAAACUCCAUAACCGUAUAACCCCACCACUUUUAUCCUAUAACAAAACAAUAUAUAAAAGGAAAAUUAUUUUUGUUCAUACUCUUUUCAACUAAUGUAGCUCGUGUGAUUCACAAAAUUCAUAUCUUUAGGUAUAUAUGACAAAAUGUGAAGAAGAUCUUAAACCCAACAAACUCAAAUCAGUUAGUUAAUGGGCAAUAAAGAAACUAACUGAAAUUCGUAUAGAAACCUGCCAUAAAUAACCACACGAAGAUAAAUUCAUAAUAAAAAAUAAACAAAACUAACAAUAGACCUAAACCACACAUAAUGUCACAGUAAUCCACAUGUCAAAUGAGUGCACAAUCAAGAAUCAACAAAAUUUGUACAACAUGAAAUACCCACAUCACUACUUAAAUGAACAAUCUGAGAAUCAUAAAAAUCAACUACCUUUAUGAAAAAAAAAAACUACCAAAAUUUUUAAAAAGAAAUCAAAAAACACACAAUGGUUUUGAGAAAAAUACCAUCUUGAGUGACAAGUGGGUAAUCAGCAGCAGAAAGAUUGAUGAACCAGUCUCAAUUAGCCGAAAACCGAAGAAGUAUUACACAUCCUACAUUUUACAUGUAAUGCAUAAAUUUUUACUUGAAAGGAAACUAGUGCAGAGUAUAAAAGGAAAAAAAACCAAGAAAAACAUAAAAAAAACUAAGUAAUGCCGAUAACAACCUUGAGCAGCACAUAAGGAAAAGAUAACAGCAUAUCAAAGCAUUAAACCGUUAAGUACUCUGCUUUCGUGAAAUUCAAAUUGCACAAGUGUUGUCCAAAUAUGUUACAGACAUGUGCUGACUUAAUUCUCUAACAAAUUUAAGAGGAAAAAGAACAGGGAAUUUUCAAGUCAUAUGCACCUCUACGUUUGAAAAAUGGGGGCAUAAGACUUUAAUAAAUUAGGUAGAUUAGGGCUAGUUUGGAUUUAGCAUAACAGGUAAAUUAGGUAAAAGAACAGAGGAACAGUUAAGGUGUAAAAUUAAACUGCAAAAGUACCAAAUCGUAAGCCCUUACCGACUCGAACUGAUGAGAUGAAGGAGAUGCGAUUCUAGGGCACGUCGAAAUUUCAAGGCUAUAGGGCUCUCUCUUCUUCUAAAGACUAUAGGGCUCGAUUACUCUGAAGAUUUUGACAUCGAUUGAAGAUUUGGAGAACGUUCUGUGAAGAAUGGAAUCAAAAGAUGGAGAAGAACUCGUUCCCUCAGUCGAAACACACAACCCUUGAACUGAGAUUUCUAGGGCUUGACUUUCUCUCUUGUAGCAAUCGCAUUUCUGGAGGGGAUCAAGGGCUUCGCUUUCUCUCUCUUCGAUUUUGCAGCCAUCGAUUUCAAGGGAAUCGAUUUUUCCAGCUUCGAUUUUGUGGCAAAGGGUUUUCUGGCUAGAGGGAGUCGUUCUAUUAUGAUUGAAUGAGGAGAGAAAGGAAAAAACACGGAGGUUUUAAUUGAAUGUGUAUGUAUAUAUAUAUAUAUAUAUACUUGUAUAUAUGCUCAAAUAUAUCUUAUAGUUAAAUAUAUUUGAUAUAUAUAUAUAUUUUGAAAUAUAAGUUAAGUAUAUGAAGAAUAUAGUUUGAAAAAGAUACGAGUUUUAGAAAAUAUAUAUGUAUAUAAAUAUAUUUUUAUAAAGAGAGAUGAAAGAUUGUAAAGUAAAUUAUCAGAGAAAAAAAUUUAAUCUAGUUUUGAAACUCUAGAUCUAAAAUUUGACAAAUCUGAUAUCGAGAUGAAGACCAUUUAUAGAUCCAGUUUUGAUAUUUUAGAUAUGUAACAAGAGAAACAAAUCUUAAGAGAUAUAAGACAACCAACCAUAUUUUAUAAAGAGAUAACCGAAAAAAGAUUAUCAUGAUUAUUUUUGACAUAUUCAAAGCAAAGAAAUAUUAAGUUUUGUAAAUGAUUUUGAUAGAGCAAAAUUAAUGAUAGAUCAAACAUAUGAGAGAGUUAAUUCUCAGACAAUUUUAAAAAAAAAAUCGAAAAGAAAUUAGGGUUUCAGAGAUUAAAUUUUUUUUGGGAUUUUUGUAAAGGAUUUAUAUCUAAAGAAUAAUAGAGCUAGCUUGAUCCAAAUGAAACUCAAGAACACGAAGGAUCUAUCAUUUGACAUAUCUGAGAUCUAAAUAAAAUGAAAAAAAUUAAAUUUUUUUAAAAAAAUUAGUAAACACGUGAUUUAGACAGCGAAGAAUCAUUUAAUCUGAGUGAAAUUUUUGAAAACGUACGGGAGAUUAAAGAUUUGAGUUGAGAUAGAUUUAGGGUUUGAGAAAGUUUUGGGGAGAAAGAGAAAACGAUCAACUAAGGAUAGGGAAAUAGAAGAAGAAAAA
This 2964-nucleotide long non-coding RNA is filed under the name Panax ginseng (ginseng). RNAcentral describes it as "long non-coding RNA (PGIN_LNC004631)". Lineage: Eukaryota; Viridiplantae; Streptophyta; Magnoliopsida; Apiales; Araliaceae. The record is from RNAcentral.